UCUGACACAAAAGAAAACGGAUCCGUCCCCCAUUCACUUUCAGUGGUGUUCUUGACGGAUCCUCGUCGGCUAUGUUAAACAUAAUGCAACCGGAUCUGUUCGUAACGAAUGCAGACGGUUGUAUUAUCUGAACGGAUCCGCACCUA
Bufo bufo (common toad) is the source of this 146-nucleotide long non-coding RNA. RefSeq lists it as uncharacterized. NCBI's taxonomy places the organism in Eukaryota, Metazoa, Chordata, Amphibia, Anura, Bufonidae. The record is from RefSeq and is a predicted model, not a curated record. The transcript is spliced from 3 exons.